This 572-nucleotide ribosomal RNA is filed under the name uncultured Bacillota bacterium. RNAcentral's name for it is "bacterial SSU rRNA". It matches the Rfam family "Bacterial small subunit ribosomal RNA", at positions 352 to 916 of the family's 1533-position model. Lineage: Bacteria; Bacillati; Bacillota. The record is from RNAcentral.
CAGUAGGGAAUCUUCCGCAAUGGACGAAAGUCUGACGGAGCAACGCCGCGUGAGUGACGAAGGUUUUCGGAUCGUAAAACUCUGUUGUUAGGGAAGAACAAGUACCGUUCGAACAGGGCGGUACCUUGACGGUACCUAACCAGAAAGCCACGGCUAACUACGUGCCAGCAGCCGCGGUAAUACGUAGGUGGCAAGCGUUGUCCGGAAUUAUUGGGCGUAAAGCGCGCGCAGGCGGUCUCUUAAGUCUGAUGUGAAAGCCCACGGCUCAACCGUGGAGGGUCAUUGGAAACUGGGGGACUUGAGUACUGGAGAGGAGAGUGGAAUUCCAUGUGUAGCGGUGAAAUGCGUAGAUAUAUGGAGGAACACCAGUGGCGAAGGCGGCUCUCUGGCCAGUAACUGACGCUGAGGCGCGAAAGCGUGGGGAGCAAACAGGAUUAGAUACCCUGGUAGUCCACGCCGUAAACGAUGAGUGCUAGGUGUUGGGGGGUUCCACCCUCAGUGCUGACGUUAACACAUUAAGCACUCCGCCUGGGGAGUACGACCGCAAGGUUGAAACUCAAAGGAAUUGACGG